GUAAUUUAGUUGCAAAUCAUAACCAUGUUACUCUUGGGUUUUUUUUUUUUUUCCAAAUUAGAAUGAAUUUUUUGGAGAAAACAUUGUUUCCCAUAUUCCACGUGUUUUUAUUGAAAAAAAAAAAUUGUUUCCUUUAUUCUACAUUAUUUUUUAUCUUGCUUCAUUCUUUGUGCUAUUUCUAGGUUUGGCAUGUACCCCUAUAAAUACUUGACUCUUUCCACAANUUUUGUAUUAUUGAAAUAUAGAAUAAUUGUGUUGGCACGGUUAUUAUAUUUAUUUUCUCUAUAUUCUUUAAUUGAAUAAAAUACACCGUUCAAUUAAUUCUUUGCCUUAUAUCUUAUUCUUUGUUUGCUAUCAUAUGCUUUAUAUCGUGUCAUAUUUAUUAUCUCCAUCCGUUCUAUUUCCGAACAGUUACCUUGGGCUAGCAUGAUAUAGUCCUUGUUCUAAUACUAUACACCAAAAAUAAAAAUCUUGACUCAAUGGUAAAGUGGAAAGAACAAGAAUAUUAUUUGUGAUUUCUCUCUCUUGAUCUUGUUUCCUCUAUAUAUUAUUAAAUUUUUGUUAUACAUAUACGCAAGGAGGAAUUUUCAUCGCAACAAGAUCUGCUCGACCAGGCUGCAAGUUACAUUAAGCAACUUAAAGAAAGAAUAGAACAAUUAAAGAGUAGAAAAAUUCAGUAAUGUAUGUAGCAAAUUUGCCAUUUUCAAGAUUUAGAGAUUUAGUAACAUUUGGUUUGUAUUUCGAUUUUCAAUUUUCAGUUUUGAGUUCGUUUUUGGUUUUCUACUUUGAGGGUCUAUUUUAUGAUCUCUAAAAUCGCUUUUGUUUGAAAUUUUGAAAAAUUGUUUUAUUACAUUUUUAUUCCAUUAAAUGUGAUUAUCCAG
This 881-nucleotide long non-coding RNA is filed under the name Olea europaea subsp. europaea. The record is from RNAcentral. Lineage: Eukaryota; Viridiplantae; Streptophyta; Magnoliopsida; Lamiales; Oleaceae.